This 506-nucleotide ribosomal RNA is filed under the name uncultured bacterium. RNAcentral describes it as "partial 16S ribosomal RNA". It matches the Rfam family "Bacterial small subunit ribosomal RNA", at positions 28 to 508 of the family's 1533-position model. The record is from RNAcentral.
GACGAACGCUGGCGGCGUGCCUAAUACAUGCAAGUAGAACGCACAGUUUAUACCGUAGCUUGCUACACCAUAGACUGUGAGUUGCGAACGGGUGAGUAACGCGUAGGUAACCUGCCUGGUAGCGGGGGAUAACUAUUGGAAACGAUAGCUAAUACCGCAUAAUAUUGAUUAUUGCAUGAUAAUUGAUUGAAAGAUGCUAUUGCAUCACUACCAGAUGGACCUGCGUUGUAUUAGCUAGUAGGUGAGGUAACGGCUCACCUAGGCGACGAUACAUAGCCGACCUGAGAGGGUGAUCGGCCACACUGGGACUGAGACACGGCCCAGACUCCUACGGGAGGCAGCAGUAGGGAAUCUUCGGCAAUGGACGAAAGCCUGACCGAGCAACGCCGCGUGAGUGAAGAAGGUUUUCGGAUCGUAAAGCUCUGUUGUAAGAGAAGAACGGGUGUGAGAGUGGAAAGGUCACACUGUGACGGUAUCUUACCAGAAAGGGACGGCUAACUACGUGC